CUGGAUCUACUCCUGUGCCAUAUAUUUGAAACCCAAACAGACCUCCAAACCUGUCAAUAAAGUGCUGCAGAUUGGAAAUGGUCAUGUGAACGGGGUUACACACAUAGUUUUACAGUAUGGUGUGGUAGGCAACCUUUGGAUAAUCAUAUCUUGAUCCACUGUUUUUCCCAGGUUGCCCAACCUACACAUGACAAAUAGGGGCAGAAGUUAGUCUCUAUUUGGGCAAUCAGGAUCAGUA
This 238-nucleotide long non-coding RNA is filed under the name Pelobates cultripes (western spadefoot toad). Lineage: Eukaryota; Metazoa; Chordata; Amphibia; Anura; Pelobatidae. The record is from RNAcentral.